This 461-nucleotide ribosomal RNA is filed under the name uncultured bacterium. Its description in RNAcentral is "partial 16S ribosomal RNA". It matches the Rfam family "Bacterial small subunit ribosomal RNA", at positions 338 to 795 of the family's 1533-position model. The record is from RNAcentral.
CCUACGGCAGGCAGCAGUGAGGAAUAUUGGUCAAUGGGCGGGAGCCUGAACCAGCCAAGUAGCGUGAAGGAUGACUGCCCUACGGGUUGUAAACUUCUUUUAUAAAGGAAUAAAGUGAGGUACGUGUGCCUCUUUGCAUGUACCUUAUGAAUAAGGAUCGGCUAAUUCCGUGCCAGCAGCCGCGGUAAUACGGAGGAUCCGAGCGUUAUCCGGAUUUAUUGGGUUUAAAGGGAGCGUAGAUGGGUUGUUAAGUCGGUUGUGAAAGUUUGCGGCUCAACCGUAGAAUUGCAAGUGAUACUGGCAGCCUUGAGUACAGUUGAGGUAGGCGGAAUUCGUGGUGUAGCGGUGGAAUGCUUAGAUAUCACGGAGAACUCCGAUUGCGAAGGCAGCUUACUAAACUGCCACUGACAUUGAUGCUCGAAAGUGUGGGUAUCAGACAAGAUUAGAUACCCCUGGUAGUC